Molecule: ribosomal RNA, 253 nt
Filed under: uncultured bacterium
Lineage: Bacteria
Description: partial 16S ribosomal RNA
Rfam family: Bacterial small subunit ribosomal RNA
Source: RNAcentral
UACGAAGGGGGCUAGCGUUGUUCGGAAUUACUGGGCGUAAAGCGCGCGUAGGCGGGUUGGUAAGUCCGCUGUGAAAGCCCGGAGCUCAACUCCGGAGGGUCGGUGGAUACUGCCAGUCUUGAAGGUGCUAGGGGGAGAUGGAAUUACCGGUGUAGCGGUGAAAUGCGUAGAUAUCGGUAGGAACACCAGUGGCGAAGGCGGUCUCCUGGGGCAUUCUUGACGCUGAGGCGCGAAAGCUGGGGGAGCGAACAGG